Long non-coding RNA from Tachysurus fulvidraco (yellow catfish), 744 nucleotides. RefSeq lists it as uncharacterized. Lineage: Eukaryota; Metazoa; Chordata; Actinopteri; Siluriformes; Bagridae. The record is from RefSeq and is a predicted model, not a curated record. The transcript has 4 exons.
GUUCCUGUAUUUGUUCAAUUUUAAAGACGCAACCAGAGGCCGAAUGUUUUCACAGGAGUGUUGUAAGGACAUUCGAGAGCAAUGAUGUUCCUUACUUUAACCGCUUUCCUGCUUUAUGCCAUACACAUUGCUCACGGCGGGAGCACAGCCCACGUAGAGGAAGGUUCAGCUGAAUACGGUACCUGGAGCACAAUCCCUUAUAUGGAAAAGGAAUCAAGUGGAAAAGAAGUCCAGACCGACACAGGUGAAGAAGUUUACUGUCUGGAUCCACGAUGACUCCAGAUCACAUUCACACACAGCGUCUUUUCAUUCAUUCAUUCAUUCAUUCACUCAUCUUCUACCGCUUAUCCGAACUUCUCGGGUCACAGGGAGCCUGUGCCUAUCUCAGGCGUCAUCGGGCAUCGAGGCAGGAUACACCCUGGACCCUAAGCCACCGUGAUCGUCUUUUCAUUUGAAUCUCCAUUUCCAUGAUAAAUGGAUAAUAAAUUUCCAUGUUUCCUUUCCUUUUGUUUCCUUUGUUUUCUUGCUGUUUUGCUAGUAAACCUUCCUGCUUUUAUAAGAGAACGUAACUUAGAGCUCUCUGUCUGUAACAGUCCUAACGAUCGCAUCCAACACUCAUUACUGCAGUGUGUUUAUUCUGUAAAGUCAUUUCAACAUUCAUGUUAUGUGAUUUUAUAGUUUUGUGCACGACAAAUACUUAAGGUCUCAAGUGUAAUGGAAACAAAUAAAGCUGCAUUAACUUCA